GACGAACCGUGCGAACGUUGCUCGGAAUCACUGGGCGUAAAGCGCACGUAGGCGGCUUUUUAAGUCAGGGGUGAAAUCCCGAGGCUCAACCUCGGAACUGCCUUUGAUACUGGGGAUCUCGAGUCCGGAAGAGGUUGGUGGAACUCCGAGUGUAGAGGUGAAAUUCGUAGAUAUUCGGAAGAACACCGGUGGCGAAGGCGGUUCUCUGGGCCUUACCUGACGCUGAGGAGCGAAAGCGUGGGGAGCGAACAGG
Molecule: ribosomal RNA, 253 nt
Filed under: uncultured bacterium
Lineage: Bacteria
Description: partial 16S ribosomal RNA
Rfam family: Bacterial small subunit ribosomal RNA
Source: RNAcentral